UAUGGCAGAUAAAGUGCAAUGGAUUUAAGCCCCAUAUAUAAAUUAAAACUUUUAUUAAAA
This 60-nucleotide transfer RNA is filed under the name Andrena neffi. RNAcentral's name for it is "tRNA-Leu". The record is from RNAcentral. Lineage: Eukaryota; Metazoa; Arthropoda; Insecta; Hymenoptera; Andrenidae.